UACGGAGGGUGCGAGCGUUGUCCGGAAUCACUGGGCGUAAAGGGCGCGUAGGCGGCAUGCCAAGCGUGUGGUGAAAGCCCGGGGCUCAACCCCGGGUCGGCCGUGCGGACUGGCGUGCUCGAGCACUGUAGGGGCGGGUGGAAUUCCGGGUGUAGCGGUGGAAUGCGCAGAUAUCAGGAGGAACACCGGUGGCGAAGGCGGGUCUCUGGGCAGUAACUGACGCUGAGGAGCGAAAGCGUGGGGAGCGAACAGG
Molecule: ribosomal RNA, 253 nt
Filed under: uncultured bacterium
Lineage: Bacteria
Description: partial 16S ribosomal RNA
Rfam family: Bacterial small subunit ribosomal RNA
Source: RNAcentral